Molecule: small RNA, 545 nt
Filed under: Pan troglodytes (chimpanzee)
Lineage: Eukaryota; Metazoa; Chordata; Mammalia; Primates; Hominidae
Description: processed transcript
Source: RNAcentral
AUUGUCUCCUGGGCCGGACCCGGGUCGCGGAAGGAAGAAGAUGCAAGCCAGCCCCAUCCGUAUCCCAACUGUUAGCAAUGACAUCGACUGGGAUUUCUGCUUCCGUAUGUCACAGCAAACCGAGAUCCCAGCUCACCAGCAAACAGAUGAGUUGUAUCCCACUGGUGGGUGUGGAGAGAGUGAAGAGGAAACUAAAGCUAAAGAGAAGGAGAAGGCCAUAGACUGUAUGUCUCAUCCCAAAGAGAAAUUAGCCCAAUCCCAGAAGAAAGUAGCUCAGCUGAUUAAGGAAAAAAUGAAUACUCAAGCAAACAAGGAGCUGAUUCGAUGUGUCAUCCUUUCUCGGAUUAUUUUUGGGGACCAUCACUGGAAAUGUGCACAAGCUCUGGCCAACCUAGCUUAUGGCUACUUGACACUGAGAGGCCUCCCAGUUCAGGCCAAGAAACAUGCUACGUCAGCCAAGAAUACACUGUUGACCUGGAAGGCAAAUACGACCUCAGAUAAGGAGAAAGAGGAAAUCCUGGAAGCUCUGGUCAAGCUGUACUACA